UUUAUAUGUUUUUACAGUUAUAUGUUUAUUAAUGCAGUUAGCCUAAAAUUAUUGAUCUGGGUGGAAUUGGAUCACAAAUUCUGGAAUUGUUGGCAUCGGGAUCUGUUGGAGGAAAUGCGGUUGAAUGAACAUUUAUCCAAAAUUUGAAAUCGGUGAUUGAAUUUCUUCAAACGCAAAAGGAAACGUUUUCAUUUGAAAAGCAAGAGGAGUGACUUUGCGAUACGUCUCAAAUAUAAGAAAUGUUUUUAUUUUGCUUCGGAAAUUGUCAAUCGGUGCUUAAAAAGUAUCCAAUGUAAGUGAAAAACAUAUGGAGCAUAGUACGGCUUUCCGGCGUGUCUCAAGCAUAGCAAGUUUAUGUCCUGGUUACGAGGAUAAACGAAUAAGGUGAAAGCGAAUCUCACGAAUCGAGAGUUUGUUGAAGUUCUGUCCGGAUUGCGGAACAAGUGGGUUGAUGCGACAACAUAUCUCACAAAUCAUCUGCCUGUUCAAUUUAAGUAUUUUUAUAAUUGCGCAUUGUUUCAGCUAGAAUAUUUUAUAAUAUUGUUUUACAGUCUUUUAUAGCUGUGAAGUCGGUAUGUCGUUUUAUUUAAUAAGCAGUCUUGCGUACUUGAAAGUGUUAAUUAAGGCACAUUUGUCAUUGUUGGACAAAGUCUUAAAAUCCAAUAGUUCAUUACCAGUUCACAAGUUAUUCCGUUUAGAGAGUUUUGGUAAUAUUGGUGAGCUAAUAUUCCAGUUGCGAAAACGCACUUCUUUGCCCCAUUCAUUGCUGCUUUUUUCUCAAUACACCACGGAAAUAACUAUAAUUAUUGUUGCUAUUUGCGGCGCUAGGUACACAAACUUGCAGAAGAAUUUACUCAGUUGCCGGUCUGUGGACAACGUUUUUUUUAUUAUGUUAUUGUUAUUAUUGGGAAUCUUUGGGAACUAAAACGGCGUUU
This is a non-coding RNA of Styela clava, 935 nucleotides long. The record is from RefSeq and is a predicted model, not a curated record. NCBI's taxonomy places the organism in Eukaryota, Metazoa, Chordata, Ascidiacea, Stolidobranchia, Styelidae.